AACGAACGCUGGCGGCAGGCCUAACACAUGCAAGUCGAACGAGACCUUCGGGUCUAGUGGCGCACGGGUGCGUAACGCGUGGGAACCUGCCCUUAGGUUCGGAAUAACUCCCCGAAAGGGGUGCUAAUACCGGAUAAUGUCUUCGGACCAAAGAUUUAUCGCCUUUGGAUGGGCCCGCGUUGGAUUAGCUAGUUGGUAGGGUAAAAGCCUACCAAGGCGACGAUCCAUAGCUGGUCUGAGAGGAUGAUCAGCCACACUGGGACUGAGACACGGCCCAGACUCCUACGGGAGGCAGCAGUGGGGAAUAUUGGACAAUGGGCGAAAGCCUGAUCCAGCAAUGCCGCGUGAGUGAUGAAGGCCUUAGGGUUGUAAAGCUCUUUUACCCGGGAUGAUAAUGACAGUACCGGGAGAAUAAGCUCCGGCUAACUCCGUG
This 433-nucleotide ribosomal RNA is filed under the name uncultured bacterium. RNAcentral describes it as "partial 16S ribosomal RNA". It matches the Rfam family "Bacterial small subunit ribosomal RNA", at positions 29 to 507 of the family's 1533-position model. The record is from RNAcentral.